CGGUGUUUAACUGGCGUGAUGUGGGACGUCCUACCGGUGGGCUUAGCCUCGCGAGGGGCGGCCCAACUAAUAUCCCGUCGCGGUGCUCUUUACUGAGUGUCGAGUCGGGCCGGUACGUUUACUUUGAACAAAUUAGAGUGCUUAAAGCAGGCUAUCCUCGCCUGAAUACUGCGUGCAUGGAAUAAUGGAAUAGGACCUCGGUUCUAUUUUGUUGGUUUUCGGAACCCCGAGGUAAUGAUUAAUAGGGACAGAUGGGGGCAUUCGUAUUGCGACGUUAGAGGUGAAAUUCUUGGAUCGUCGCAAGACGGACAGAAGCGAAAGCAUUUGCCAAAAAUGUUUUCAUUAAUCAAGAACGAAAGUUAGAGGUUCGAAGGCGAUCAGAUACCGCCCUAGUUCUAACCAUAAACGAUGCCAGCUAGCGAUCCGCCGAAGUUCCUCCGAUGACUCGGCGGGCAGCUUCCGGGAAACCAAAGCUUUUGGGUUCCGGGGGAAGUAUGGUUGCAAAGCUGAAACUUAAAGGGAAUUGACGGAAGGGCACCACCAGGAGUGGAGCCUGCGGGCUUAAUUUGACUCAACACGGGAAACCUCACCAGGCCCAGACACCGGAAGGAUUGACAGAUUGAUAGCUCUUUCUUGAUUCGGUGGGUGGUGGUGCAUGGCCGUUCUUAGUUGGUGGAGCGAUUUGUCUGGUUAAUUCCGAUAACGAACGAGACUCUAGCCUGCUAAAUAGGCGUACCUUAUGGUAUCGCGAAGGCCCCCGGCUUCGGCCGGUGGGUUUUUACUACCAACGUACAAACAAAUCUUCUUAGAGGGACAGGCGG
This 821-nucleotide ribosomal RNA is filed under the name uncultured eukaryote. RNAcentral's name for it is "SSU rRNA". It matches the Rfam family "Eukaryotic small subunit ribosomal RNA", at positions 629 to 1426 of the family's 1831-position model. The record is from RNAcentral.